This is a long non-coding RNA of Gasterosteus aculeatus aculeatus (three-spined stickleback), 1282 nucleotides long. The record is from Ensembl. Lineage: Eukaryota; Metazoa; Chordata; Actinopteri; Perciformes; Gasterosteidae.
ACAAACUCCAUCGAGCAGGCUGCUGAGGACCCGGGGCAGGAGGAAGUGGUGCAGCAGUGCAUGGCCAACCAGAGCUGGCUGGACGCCCUCUUCGGCUCCUGGAUCGAGCUGCUCACGCUCAGCACCAAAGUCUGAGUCGACCAGAGACGGACGGCGAGAGAGGGCGAGAGAGAGCAUCGACUAAAGCGAGAGGAUUUUUAAAAAAAAACUAAAAGACGAUGCAAAGAGAUGGAUCCUACUGUACAGACCCCCCCCCCCCGACCCGCUUCAAGGCUCUUAGGAGCUGAGGAUGGAUUUUUAAGGCCCUUGACGGACACCAGACACUAGCAGGUCCAUUCAUGUGACCUCAGACACUGGCCUCUGCUCUUUUUCUUGUUACUGAUCACUGACUAAAGAAAUGUCUUACUUUGUGAAAGGGGGGGGGACCCCUACAGGAUCAGGGGUCACUGGCUGGGUGGAGAGGGUUUGUCCCUUCAGGGGACAGUGUGGGGGGGGGGGGGGGGGUGUGAAAGGACAAAGAAGAGCAGCCCUAACGCCAAGUCAACGGAGGAGCCACUGACGUCUUGUUACCUUUUGUGUCAUGAAGAAAAUAGUUCAAAAGAGAAACUAUUACCACUUAGUUUUUACAUAAAUUAUUUUUUUGAAGACUAACAUCCGCUGUUGGCUUUUGAACAGAGUGGAAGAGGGUGAGAAUGCUUUUUAAACCGCGUGGAGAGCGUGCCGUGCGCACAGUGAACACUGACUCGUCCACGGAUAGAAACAUGAAGCGUGUUCGUAGACUCUCUCUCUCUCAUCCUGGGCAGCGCCUGUCCGCUGUGUGGAUCAGUAUACAGCCGUCACCCACACAGCCGAGCCGUCUUCCCCUCUAUUCAAAAGAACGGACGCCGAGACUGAAGCGUUGUAUCAAAUACAGUGGGUGUAAAGUAACAAGGUCAAAAGAAAAAAAAAAGAAGAGUGGGGAACAUCUAUUUGAAACUUAACAUUGUCGUGCUUCAGUUCAAUCAUCCGUCAUGCAGGUGCAAAGAAAAAGAAGUAAACUUUCCAUUUCCCAUGUGGGAAGAAGGAGUAUAAAUACGUAAUAUUUAAAGAGGAAAUAGUCAUUUCAUUUUUAUCAUUUUGAUGUUUGUGCAUACUAUGACUUAUUUUGAAAACAAUCUAAUUUUCCAUAAAAAAAAGGAAAAAAAGGCUUGUAAAUAUUGUACAGUUCUUGAUGAAAUUCUUUGUCCUUCUGUACAUUAACUCUCCUGUAUUUGAGAAACAAAUAAAAUCUGCAAAGAACAAA